CGUAAUGUAAAAUAGUAGGCACAUAGUUGAAUGAAGGCUCAGGCGGAGAGGAUCACUUUUCAAAGAUUGUAAAAGAAGUUACGUGGAUAGUGUGUGUUAUGCAGCAAGGAAAGGAAUGGAAAAUCAGAAGACGUGUUUAGAUCACACAAACCAGAGGUGAAAGCUGAAUCUGAGAGGCUUCUGUUUCCAGCAAUAAGGCCAAUAAUACCCCAAGCUCCUGACUGAAACCAAACACUCUGGAGGGACACUCUCACAUGCAGGCCAGAAGGAAUUUGAAUAGAAGGAAACAGGCUAAAGAAGAGAGCUCAUGGCAAAAAUUACAAACCAUACAAGGAAGGCAUUCACCACAGUGAGAUAGAGACGAGGUUUCACCGUAUUAGCCAGGAUGGUCUCGAUCUCCUGACCUCGUGAUCCGCCCGCCUCGGCCUCCCAAAGUGCUGGGAUUACAGGCGUGAGCCACCGCGCCCGGCCUAGAAUCUGCUUUUUAACAACAUAAUUCAAGUUUGAGAAGCUCUGCUAAAAAAAAAAAAAAGCAACAAAAAAGAUGCCCUUCCUUACCUGUUCAGGUACGUGGUUUCUUCAAAUGUUCCUGUGUCUUCCCUAAAUACAAACCUACUUUCUCUGCUGGAUCCUCUCAACCACAUCUAAACAUUUAAAUCUCUCCCAUUCUAAAUCAACAUUCAAGCCAUUUUUAAAAACUGCCCUAUAACCUCUUAUCUCCAGGUAGUGAAUGAUUUAUGCUCUUUUCCUCUACAAAGCCAAACAUCUUCAAAGACUUUCUUAUAUUCUAUUUCUAUUUUGCUUCCUUUAUUUCUCAACACACUUUUAAAAGAGAUCAUUAGCUGUUGUCCCCUAUCAAGUCUUCCUCUUUUUCAUGGUAAUAAUACCCUAGCAUUUAGCCAGGCACCUGACUGUAAAGACGCUAAAGACUGUAAAGGCACUUGAGUAAAUAUCAUUUUCUAGCUUCCCUUCCAGUUCUGUGUGCCCAUGUUUCUAGGUUCUGAUUGUUGGGAUGCUAAUGGAAAUGAUAUGUGUAUCUUCUGAGAAAUUAUCUUAAAUGGAGAGAGUAUAACCUUCUUGUUUCUUACCUCUUUUCUUCUGGUGCAAUGUGGAUGAAAUGCUCAAAUGCCACCAGCCAACAUGGACCAUAAAUUAAAUUUGGAAUGGAAGCCACACAUGACAUGGGAACAAGAUGGAAAACUUUAGGUUAUCAUUGGGAUUUCCUGGCUUUUCCAAUCAACCUAUGGCCUCUAACAAGCUCACAAAACAGCAGGCUGAAGCUAUGUUCAUCUAAAAGCAAAACAUUUGGUCAAUUAAACCAAUUUAAUAAAAAAACUGAAUUUAUUGGAAGGACAGCAAUUUUCUUCUUGAAUAGUUAGUUUGGCAUCAUGUGGGCAAAGCAUUAAACUCUGGAACGUUUUUUCUUCUCCCGAUUUAAAUUUGGAAUUUGAAAGUAUGGCUUUCCUUGUGCUUCCUUUCUUCAAAUUAUGCAGGAGAGUAACUGUAGGUCUCAGAGACAGGUGCCUAUAAAAGCUAGGUCAGUAAAGCAAAUGAAUGGACAAGGUUGUGUCCGUUCAAUAACAGGUGCAUGAAGACAAAUGUAUGUUGUGGUAAUGUUAAAAAGGAAUACAAGACUAUGAAGGGUGGAAGAGGGAGAGAUGAGUGUUGCAGAAAUGUUGACUGAAAAGGAAAAAAUAAAGACCAGAUUUUAGGGAAUAGAGCAGAGAGGGCAAAGAAAUUUCAGUGAAGACCCUGCUUCCACUGGGUUCACGUAGAAGGAGAAAAACACUCCCUCUUGAGGGUGACAAGGUGACUAUGGCAACCAUCUUGAACCGGAACCAGGCCUGAAUUUAUUAACUCUGUGAGGAGUUUGCACUAUAGGUUGAGGAACGACAACCAAAUGGAUAGAAAAAUCUAUCCUAACGCAGGAAUAGAAAAGCAAAUACUGCAUGUUCUCACUUAUAAGUGGGAGCUACAUGAUGAGAACACAUGGACACACAGAAGGAAGCAACACACCCUGGGGCCUGUUGGGAGGUGGAGUGUGGGAGUAGGGAGAGGAUCAGCAAAGAUAGCUACUGGGUAUUGGGCUUGACACCUGGGUGACAAAGUGGUCUGUGCAGCGGACCCCCAUGGCACAAGUCUGCCUGUAUGGCAGACCUGCAUAUGUACUCCUGAACUUAAAAUAAAAGUUAAAUUAAAAAAAGUCUAUUCUAAGAGGAAUUAGUCUUGUAAGUAGAUCAUCCCCACACCUCCAUAUGAGCUGCUUGCCCCAGAAUCACACAUGGUCAUGAGUCAGCAUCUGGGAGGGAAAACAACAGCCCCCGGACCAAGAAGGUAUCACUGUCCCUUAGCACAGGGGCAGAGGGAGAGACUGACCAUAGUUGCUUUCUGGAGAUUUUCAUGACCUAGAGGCAAGGCCCCAGAAAUCUGGAAGCUAAGUGUUCUUAAAAUAUCUACAUAAACUUAUUAAAAAAUCACCAGUUUUUCUUUAAGCCCGAUAGUGUUUGGUUUUCAGACACUUGCAAUUGUAAAAGUCCUCUGACUUUUUCAAUUGUCUCUUAUCAACUUAUGAAAAGUUGCUCGAGCUUGCUCAAAACAAGAGAAACAAAUUAAAAUGAAAAGAGAUGCCAUUUUCACCUAUCUGAUUUGAAAAGAUCUAAAUGUUCAAUAACAGGCUAUGUUGGCCAAGCUGUGAGAAAGUGGGUACGCUCAUACACUGUCGAUGAAAUAUAAGCUGUUUGCAAUGUUUAUGAAGGGCAAUGUGGGAAUAUUUAUUAAAAUAAAAAAUUCAUGGACUAAACCCAGGAAUUCUACUUCUAGAAAUUUAUUCCACAAAUAUACUUAUACAUGUGAAAAAUGCUAAAUAUAUGAGGCUAUUCAUUAUAGUAUUGUUUAUAACAAUAAAAGAUAUAAAUGAGCCUAAAUGUCCAUCAAGAGAGACUGGUUAAAUGAAGUAUGGUACAACCACAUGGUGGAAUACUCUGAUAUAUGUUGUUUGGUGAAUCAAUUAAUUUUGUGCUACCACUUGUAUAAAAGGAAGGGGACAGAAAAUGUUUAUUCAAAUAUAUGUCAAUCUCUGGAAGGACAUGGAAGAAAAUAAUGAGUGGUUACAUAUUUGGGAAGCAGGCAUGAGGACUUACCAGAUGAGACAAAGUUGAAAAGGAGCUUUUUGUUUUUGUUUUCACUGAAUAUUCC
Molecule: long non-coding RNA, 3195 nt
Filed under: Homo sapiens (human)
Lineage: Eukaryota; Metazoa; Chordata; Mammalia; Primates; Hominidae
Description: HSALNT0342124
Source: RNAcentral